AGGUGCGACCAUGCAAGCACUAAUGCACUCUUUCAUUAGAACUCCGUAGUUAAGCAUGUUUGGGCGAGGGUAAUACUUUGUUGUGUGCAAGGAAGUCUUCGUGUUGCACUCC
RNAcentral lists this ribosomal RNA (112 nucleotides) under Cucumis melo (muskmelon). Lineage: Eukaryota; Viridiplantae; Streptophyta; Magnoliopsida; Cucurbitales; Cucurbitaceae. RNAcentral also lists the same sequence under 1 other name. The record is from RNAcentral.